CCUACGGGGUGCAGCAGUGAGGAAUAUUGGUCAAUGGACGAGAGUCUGAACCAGCCAAGUAGCGUGAAGGAUGACUGCCCUAUGGGUUGUAAACUUCUUUUAUAUGGGAAUAAAAUGUUCCACGUGUGGGAUUUUGUAUGUACCAUAUGAAUAAGGAUCGGCUAACUCCGUGCCAGCAGCCGCGGUAAUACGGAGGAUCCGAGCGUUAUCCGGAUUUAUUGGGUUUAAAGGGAGCGUAGGUGGAUUGUUAAGUCAGUUGUGAAAGUUUGCGGCGCAACCGUAAAAUUGCAGUUGAAACUGGCAGUCUUGAGUACAGUAGAGGUGGGCGGAAUUCGUGGUGUAGCGGUGAAAGGCUUAGAUAUCACGAAGAACUCCGAUUGCGAAGGCAGCUCACUGGACUGCAACUGACACUGAGGCUCGAAAGUGUGGGUAUCAAACAGGAUUAGAUACCCGUGUAGUC
Molecule: ribosomal RNA, 460 nt
Filed under: uncultured bacterium
Lineage: Bacteria
Description: partial 16S ribosomal RNA
Rfam family: Bacterial small subunit ribosomal RNA
Source: RNAcentral